UCUGAGAUCAACGACCCAUAUCCUUACCCCACUUUAAUUAACCUAACCCACCCCAAACCCUACCAUUCCAUCUCAGACGCCACCUUUGAAUACUCUCCCCUCUUCUUCUAUGAACCCUAGCCGUUGUAUGUCUCAACCUCUCCAAAUCUGGCUCUAAAACGGAAUCAAUCGUUGAUUCACUUACCUUAUUGAUCUCCUCUUACUACUGGUUGUUCGUCUGUGAUGUUACCUAGUUGCUUGCCUAAACAUGGUAAGCAAAUCUCAUCAAAAUCGAACCAAAAUCGGUUCAAAUCCUUGACCUUUCUGCUAUUCCGUCUAUAUUCAUCUUUUGUUCUAUCAUGGGUAUGAAUCUCUGUGUAUUUUAUGUUGAUUCUUACUUACCCUAAAACUAGGGUUUUCAGAUCUCUUUAGAUCGAAACAAAAUUGGUUUGAUUCUCUGAUUUUAAGUGUUAUAAUGUCUAUGUUUGUCCUAUGUUACUAUUUUCAUGUAUAUUCUGGUAAUAUUUGCUUUCCCUAAAAAACUAGGGUUUACCUAUUUUUCCCUAAAUCCGAUUUUUGUUGAUUCUUCAUGUUAUUGCUUCCUUAUUUAUUGUUGAUUUUACAGUGUUUCCUUGUUUACUUGUUUAAUUUCUACUACUAUAUAAACCAUUCCCCAUUACCCUUUAAGAUAGACUUGAAUCGUUGUAAUCUCACUAAAAUUUUAAGCUAUAUUAUGUUAUUCCUUCAUUAUCUCGUUCUAUACUUUGGUUCUUGGCCGACUAAAAGCCAAGGCCACCAAAAUUCUGGGCUCUUGCUCUUCGUUGAUAUUCAGAAUACUGUGGACUUUUGUUCUUUCUUGUUUUUCACUUAACUGGUGAGUUACUGGACUUUGUAGUUUCAUUCCUAUGUAUCUGUGAUUUGCAUAUGUUUUCACUCCUAGAGUUUUGCUUAAUGUGUUCUUCUGGGUUGUUUUUGUGUGCAAUUCUGUUUGUUCUACUUCAACUUUUAGCUCUCCUUAACUUUUAACUUCAUAUUGACAGUUUAAAGCAUGCGUAAACCCGAUUUGAGUGAAUUAGAUUCCUUUAAAGCUCAUCUAGCCUAUGUGUCACAACUUACUGAUGUUUAGGACCUUUGCAUCUCUUUGUUGUCUAAUUUUGCUAUCAAUCCUGUUACUUGAGCAUGCUUUACUUACAUGAUUCGUAUCCCUUUUAAGAGACUAGUUGAUUGUGUUCAAAAGCAUGAAUGUAUACAUUAACUAUAUAGCAUAAGUCUGUUUCAUGUCCUAUUCUGAAUUUGCUGUGAUGAUAUCCUGCUUAUGUAGCAUGUUUGAUCCUGUUCCUUAAUAGUAUGCUUCUAACAUGUCUUGACUUCCUAGUAGUUGCAAUGAUCUGAUUUCAUCCGGUCUAAAUUCUGUUGUCAAUUAAUAUGAUUCCUUCUUAUAACACUAACACCUAUACUUCGUAUAAUUUGAACCUUUUCCUUACUAUGAGUCUGUGUACACCAAUCCUGCAAACUUGUUUUGUUAAUGUGUGACAACUUAUGCAUUAGGUGUUGAACUUGUUCUUCUGAAUCUUUGCUAAGUCUUUUCUUAAAACGUAAAGCUUGUUCGAUUAUCUACUCUAUUUGCUCAACUUGACUAUGUUUGUAUCCUUUAUUGCUGUCUCUCAACCUUAAUUUACUCACUUUCACUUGUUACCUAGGCUCUUUUGAGUUUUCAUGCUUAGCCGGCUGAAAGACAAUGCUACUUAGGUUCUAUCAUUAAGUUCCCUAGUGUGAGCACUGCUCGGGGUCCAUUUUGAGACCCUUGUGAACUAUGACACACUAGGGUCUAAGGUUUCUUGGCACUCUGUCCUAAAUGCUCAUUCUACUCCCGUCUACCUGAUGAAUGAGCCAAUGGGCUUGUGUACAUGGUUGUUUUCUGAAUCUUUGAUGGCUACUGGGUUUUGGUUAUUUUGUGAAUGUGUCUUCCGGGUUGUGGUGAAACCUGUAUGUAUACGAAAUUGAAGGCUUGGCUAGGCUGGGUAUACUUUGGGCAUGACUAAGGCCUACUAUUGUUAUUUUAUAACUUUGUAAUUUAUUUCAUUUAUUGGUCCUGUAAUAAUGUUAUAAUAACAAUUUGGGUGUUAGUAAAGUUGGGAAAAUGGAUUUAUUUUAAUAUUUGCAUGAAACGGGUAAAAAUCCUG
RNAcentral lists this long non-coding RNA (2162 nucleotides) under Nicotiana tabacum (common tobacco). RNAcentral describes it as "long non-coding RNA (NTAB_LNC016910)". The record is from RNAcentral. Lineage: Eukaryota; Viridiplantae; Streptophyta; Magnoliopsida; Solanales; Solanaceae.